RNA transcript from Arachis stenosperma, 3762 nucleotides. It is a transcript of the gene named carbon catabolite repressor protein 4 homolog 4, with no coding region annotated. The transcript is spliced from 11 exons. The record is from RefSeq and is a predicted model, not a curated record. NCBI's taxonomy places the organism in Eukaryota, Viridiplantae, Streptophyta, Magnoliopsida, Fabales, Fabaceae.
AACAGAUACAGAAGACGAGAAUUGAAGAGAUAGAAAUGCUAAAAGCAGUAGUAGCUGCUCUUUCGCGCUCACCACCUCCUUCUUCUUCUUUCACGAGCUACGCUACCAUUCACGAUUCCGCAAACUUUCACCGCGUUUCGAUCAGAGUAGCAACAUACACGAAAAUGGCCUCCUCCUCCUCCUCACCACUCCCCUCACUCAACAUUCCAAAUUUCGUUUCCUUCGAAGGCGCCGACGUACAUUCGCGAACUAAACCUGAUGGCUUCAGAUUCACCUUAGUCUCGUAUAACAUAUUAGCUCAGGCUUAUGUGAAGAGCUCUCUGUUCCCACACUCUCCUUCCCCGUCACUCAAGUGGAAAUUUCGUUCAAGUUCCAUUUUAGAAGUUCUCAAGAACUUGGGAGCUGAUUUUUUCUGCCUACAGGAGGUUGAUGAAUUUGAUAGCUUUUACAAUGGAAGCAUGCGGAACUUGGGAUAUUCGUCUAUCUAUAUGAAGAGAAGUGGACAGAAGCGUGAUGGGUGUGGUUUGUUUUACAAGCAUGACCGUGCAGAGUUGGUUUUGGAGGAGAAAAUUGAAUACAACGAUCUAGUAAAGUCAAUUAAAGAUGGAAACUCUCCAAAUGAUGACAAAGAAAGCAAAGGCCAGCCAAAUAAACAAGAGGAUGCUGCAUCCAAUGAUGGACCUAAAUCGAAUAAAGAAGAUCGUGGAGACCCCAAUGAUCCUCGUGUGAGACUAAAGCGUGACUGUGUAGGAAUUUUGGCUGCGUUUAGGGUCAAAGAUCCCUCUCGUCAUGUUGUUAUUGUGGCCAACACACAUCUUUAUUGGGAUCCUGAAUGGGCUGAUGUCAAGCUUGCACAAGCUAAAUAUCUUCUUUCUCGAUUAUCACAAUUCAAAACUCUGGUAUCAGAUCAAUAUGAAUGCACGCCUGAAGUCAUUUUGGCUGGUGACUUUAAUUCUACACCAGGAGAUAUGGUUUAUCAGUACCUCAUAUCAGGCAAUUCUUCUUCACAAAUUAUGCCUGAAUGUUUGGAGGAGCAACCAAUUCCCUUAUGUAGUGUCUACGCUUCUACGAGAGGAGAGCCACCAUUUACAAACUACACACCUGGUUUCACCGGAACUCUCGAUUAUAUAUUAUUCUGCCCCUCUGACCACAUGAAACCAAUCAGCUUUCUUGAGCUUCCAGACUCCGAUGCAGUCGACAUUGUCGGUGGACUGCCAAACUAUAGUCAUCCAAGUGAUCAUCUACCAAUUGGUGCUGAAUUUGAGAUCAUCAAGGAGUAAAUGGUCUUGUACGGCUAAGUGGUAUUUGAUUUCUCAAGCAUUCAUGUUGAUGAGGCAAAGAAUUGGGGCGAGUAUACUAUGGAUUAGGCAGUGAAAUCAACCGAGUGACUUGACAAGGUGAUGGUCACUUAACCUCCAAUUAUCAAAUGAACAUUACUUGUUUUAGAAAAUUUUGUAGGAUUGAAUUCUCUUUCCAGUUGCACAAUCCUUGCAGAAUCUUUUGCUUGUCUUCCAUCAUGUGAUAUUUUUCAAGAUUUUUUUUCCCUCCGAUUUUGAUGUGUGCAUUUUUAUUAUAAAAACAUAGUUUGUUAUGUGUAACCAGCGGCUUGGCAAGCCACUUUCCUAUUGUUGUUAAGUGACAUUAUUUUUAAAAUAAAAGGAAAAUAUUAGAGGCUAAUACUUUUACUGGAAAGAAAAAUGGAAGGUUGACUAGUAUGUAAGAUAAAUACAAAAAAAAAUAUUAGUCUUCUAAUAUUUCUCAAAAUGAAAAUUUAUAAAUAAGAUAAUCCUUCUGUUUUGUUUUAUAAAUUAGAAAAAUGAAUAGCCGCUAGUAUUUUUGUGCCUGGUGCGAAGUUCUAAAACUGAUCUUUUAAGUAGUUAUGCAAAAAAUGAAUGAUGAUGAUAACGGUAUUGAUGUUAAUGUAUAUAGCUUAUGGCCCUAUGAUGGCGUGACUAGUAGUUUGAUCAUGGCCUUGACAUUCGUUUUCAGUCUAUGGAGUAUGUAGUGAUAACAUUAUGAUUCUUCCUCAGCUUAAUUUGCUCUAUGCUGCAUUAUUAUGGUUAUUGUUAUUGCUUUGCUCUCACAAAUAUGAAAAUGUUUUGGACGGCUAUGAUAUGUCAAUUCAAGUGAUUCUUGGGUCAUUAUAGUGUCACAAUCAUUCACACUAGACUGCAGCAUGGGCAUCACGACUUCAUACACAGUUAUGAAUUAUGAUGGGAGCGUUUUCUUGUUCAAGUUGGGGGUCUUAGGGGACCACCAAUUGCAAGUUGCAAUGUGAGUUUGUGAGGAGUUAGAUUUGGGUGGCUACUUUAGCUUUCUAUAUCCAUCAAUGUGUUUCAUUGAGAAGAACAUUUCUCUUUGUUAAGCAUUUCUAUCUUUUCUUCUCAAUGAAUCAAUUGAUAUUUCACCCUUUAUGAUUAUAAAUUCAAUUCGAAUGUCAAAGUAUCCGCCACUUUUUCUACCCAUUGGCUGAGAAAUAUAAUUGAGUCUAAUCAAGGGAAUUAUUUUUUGGGAGUAAAUUUCUAGCUAAUUUUUUUAGAUUAAUUUUUUGAGUUAUGUAUACCAAAAUUAGUCAUCAAAGUCAGCCACCAAUAUAAAAUACAUGCUGGAAUACAAAUACACAUUAAAAAUAAAUUAAACUAUACAUGUAUUUAUACACAAAUACAUUAGUGACUGAUUUUAGUAGCUGAUUGUAGUGUAUAAAUAACAUUUUUGUUAAUUUUUUACUCUUAUAUUUACAAUAACUCAUAGUUUUGAGAAACGGUUAAUUCAGUUAACCAAAAAUUGGCUACCAAAUUAAUUCAGCUCAGCGUAAACAUUAUUUAUUAGUAAAUUGGUAAAAAAAUCGAAAAAAUUAAAAAAAUCAUAAAUUGAUUUAAUUGGUCUAAUUUUUAACAGCUAAUUAAUUUAAAAUAAUAAAACAUAAUUUAAAAAAAAAUCUAUUUCAUACUUAAAUAUAUUAUUUUAUUAUAUUUGCAAUUAAGCUUUAGAUCUCUCAACCUCUAAUUGUAACCUUUCAAUUUUCAGAACCUUCCAAUCACCUUUUUUUACUUCUUUCUUCUUCCUCUAAAAAAACGCUUAACGCCACCACAAAUUUACCUCUGAGGCUCUCACACUAUUAACCGGUCAUUAUUGUUGUCGACCAUCCUAAACCUACUAUAAACCCAAAUACUCCAAAAGAGAAGGAUUAAAAGGAUAAUUUUGACAAUUAAAAACGCUAUUAGUUCAUCCUGGAGUUUUCUAACAACUUUUACUAAACCAAGUCCUAAAUCAAGUGGAGCUUGAGCUAAGGUACAUAUGGUGGGGUUGAUUGAACUUUAUGGUUCUCAGUGUAUGUUAAAUAUCAUUUUUCCCCAAGGCUUGGGCAACAUUAUAGGGAACCUUAUCCCCACGAACCAUACAAAUCCAUGAAGCAGAGUUGUCACACAUUCGCGAUUCUUCCUUCAUCGGUUGGAGCUGUGUGUAUGUGGGGAGUGGAUCAUCUCCAGUGGAAAAAAAAAUUUGAUAGUAUCCAGUGAAAGAUCUCACCAUUCAAUACAUUCUCUCUCUCAUUUAUUGCUGGUCCCACUUGUAAAAUUAAAGGUGGAAGAUUACACUUUAUUCUCUCCAGUGACAAAAAAAAUAGAGAGGAUCUAUUUCCGUGUAUGUGUGUAAAUGGUCAUUAAUACCCUUUGCAUGUUUACACAUAGACCAAAGGGAAAAAAUUUAAUAUUGAGAGGUUGGGUUAUGCUUGUGAGUUUGAGUGAUGGAUAGGAGUUUGUA